Molecule: transfer RNA, 76 nt
Filed under: Pseudomonadota bacterium
Lineage: Bacteria; Pseudomonadati; Pseudomonadota
Also listed under: 1 other name
Description: Proteobacteria bacterium (cold seep metagenome) tRNA-Lys
Rfam family: tRNA
About the family: Transfer RNA (tRNA) molecules are approximately 80 nucleotides in length.
Source: RNAcentral
GGGGCGUUAGCUCAGUCGGUAGAGCAGUGGACUUUUAAUCCAUUGGUCGAGAGUUCGAGUCUCUCACGCCCCACCA